RNAcentral lists this ribosomal RNA (1493 nucleotides) under uncultured bacterium. RNAcentral describes it as "bacterial SSU rRNA". It matches the Rfam family "Bacterial small subunit ribosomal RNA". The record is from RNAcentral.
GAGAGUUUGAUCCUGGCUCAGGAUGAACGCUAGCUACAGGCUUAACACAUGCAAGUCGAGGGGCAGCAUGGUCUUAGCUUGCUAAGGCCGAUGGCGACCGGCGCACGGGUGAGUAACGCGUAUCCAACCUGCCUUACACUCUUGGACAGCCUUCUGAAAGGGAGAUUAAUACAAGAUGUUAUCAUGAGUAAGCAUUUUCGCAUGAUUAAAGGUUUACCGGUGUAAGAUGGGGAUGCGUUCCAUUAGAUAGUAGGCGGGGUAACGGCCCACCUAGUCUUCGAUGGAUAGGGGUUCUGAGAGGAAGGUCCCCCACAUUGGAACUGAGACACGGUCCAAACUCCUACGGGAGGCAGCAGUGAGGAAUAUUGGUCAAUGGACGAGAGUCUGAACCAGCCAAGUAGCGUGAAGGAUGAAGGUUCUAUGGAUUGUAAACUUCUUUUAUACGGGAAUAAACGAAUCCACGCGUGGAUUUUUGCAUGUACCGUAUGAAUAAGGAUCGGCUAACUCCGUGCCAGCAGCCGCGGUAAUACGGAGGAUCCGAGCGUUAUCCGGAUUUAUUGGGUUUAAAGGGAGCGUAGAUGGGUUGUUAAGUCAGUUGUGAAAGUUUGCGGCUCAACCGUAAAAUUGCAAUUGAUACUGGCAGUCUUGAGUACAGUUGAGGUAGGCGGAAUUCGUGGUGUAGCGGUGAAAUGCUUAGAUAUCACGAAGAACUCCGAUUGCGAAGGCAGCUUACUAACCUGUAACUGACAUUGAUGCUCGAAAGUGUGGGUAUCAAACAGGAUUAGAUACCCUGGUAGUCCACACGGUAAACGAUGAAUACUCGCUGUAGGCGAUAUACAGUCUGCGGCCAAGCGAAAGCAUUAAGUAUUCCACCUGGGGAGUACGCCGGCAACGGUGAAACUCAAAGGAAUUGACGGGGGCCCGCACAAGCGGAGGAACAUAUGGUUUAAUUCGAUGAUACGCGAGGAACCUUACCCGGGCUUAAAUUGCAACCGAAUAUGGCGGAAACGCUAUAGCUAGCAAUAGCGGUUGUGAAGGUGCUGCAUGGUUGUCGUCAGCUCGUGCCGUGAGGUGUCGGCUUAAGUGCCAUAACGAGCGCAACCCUUGCCGAUAGUUACUAACAGGUCAUGCUGAGGACUCUGUCGGGACUGCCAUCGUAAGAUGUGAGGAAGGUGGGGAUGACGUCAAAUCAGCACGGCCCUUACGUCCGGGGCUACACACGUGUUACAAUGGGGGGUACAGAGGGCUGCUACCACGCAAGUGGAUGCCAAUCCCAAAAACCUCUCUCAGUUCGGAUUGAAGUCUGCAACCCGACUUCAUGAAGCUGGAUUCGCUAGUAAUCGCGCAUCAGCCACGGCGCGGUGAAUACGUUCCCGGGCCUUGUACACACCGCCCGUCAAGCCAUGGGAGCCGGGGGUACCUGAAGUGCGUAACCGCAAGGAGCGCCCUAGGGUAAAACUGGUGACUGGGGCUAAGUCGUAACAAGGUAGCCG